AUUGAACGCUGGCGGCAGGCCUAACACAUGCAAGUCGAGCGGAUGAAGGGAGCUUGCUCCUGGCUUCCGCUGCGGACGGGUGAGUAAUGCCUAGGAAUCUGCCUGGUCUUUGGGGAUAACGUCCGUAAACGGGCGCUAAUACCGCAUCCGUCCUGAUGGAGAAAGUGGGGGAUCUUCGGACCUCACGCUAUCUGAUGAGCCUAGUUCGAAUUAGCUAGUUGGUGGGGUAAAGGCCUACCAAGGCGACGUUCCGUAACUGGUCUGAGAGGAGGAUCAGUCACACUGGAACGGAGAAAGGGUCAAAAUCCUAAGGGAGGCAGCAGUGGGGAAUAUUGGACAAUGGGCGAAAGCCUGAUGCAGCAAUGCCGCGUGUGUGAAGAAGGUCUUCGGAUCGUAAAGCACUUUAAGUUGGGAAGAACGGAAGUAAGUUAAUACCUGGAUGUUUUGACGGUACCAAAAGAAUAAGCAACGGCUAACUACGUG
Molecule: ribosomal RNA, 483 nt
Filed under: uncultured bacterium
Lineage: Bacteria
Description: partial 16S ribosomal RNA
Rfam family: Bacterial small subunit ribosomal RNA
Source: RNAcentral